RNAcentral lists this small nuclear RNA (102 nucleotides) under Catagonus wagneri (Chacoan peccary). The record is from RNAcentral. Lineage: Eukaryota; Metazoa; Chordata; Mammalia; Artiodactyla; Tayassuidae.
GAGCUGACUUCACAGCACAUAUACUAAAACUGGAACGAAUAGAGAUUAGCAUGGCCCCUGGGCAAGGAUGACACGCAAAUUCGUGAGGCGGCCCAUAUUUUU